Molecule: long non-coding RNA, 246 nt
Filed under: Lathyrus oleraceus (garden pea)
Lineage: Eukaryota; Viridiplantae; Streptophyta; Magnoliopsida; Fabales; Fabaceae
Description: Pisum sativum (pea) long non-coding RNA (PSAT_LNC007967)
Source: RNAcentral
UUAGGGUUGAUCAUAUUUUCAAGCUCUUAAAGAUAAAUCAUCAGCUUAUAUAUAAAGGUAUGUCAUGUGCCAUCAAAAAUAAAAAGAAUACAACAUAUUUUUUAAGUUAAAUUUCUAUUACAAAACCUUAAGGUGAUAGGUGUGUGAGUUUUCUCACUUAUAAAUGUUCAAGUAUCCACUUUUCUUAUCAAUGUUAGACUUCCUACACUUUCUUUCUCAAAAUUCUUAAUCCACGUCUGUUUUUUU